AUACUCUGGUUUCUCUUCAGAUCGUAUAAAUCUUUCGCCUUUUACUAAAGAUUUCCUCUGAAUUCCUACAAGGUUGACUAAGCCCUUCAUCCUUCCAAACAAGCUGUAUUAAGUU
This is a small nuclear RNA of Chrysemys picta bellii (western painted turtle), 115 nucleotides long. RefSeq annotates it as U5 spliceosomal RNA. The record is from RefSeq and is a predicted model, not a curated record. Lineage: Eukaryota; Metazoa; Chordata; Testudines; Emydidae.